Onthophagus taurus is the source of this 262-nucleotide long non-coding RNA. RefSeq lists it as uncharacterized. The record is from RefSeq and is a predicted model, not a curated record. Lineage: Eukaryota; Metazoa; Arthropoda; Insecta; Coleoptera; Scarabaeidae.
AAAUUCAAGAAGAAAUUGUUAAAAAUAAGUUAAUAAUGAUGAAAAACUUGGUAAAAUUUAUAAAUCUUGAAGAUUUGCUUCAAAAUAGCCCAAAGAAUGCGGUUACAAAUUGAUAAAAAAACAAUUCAGGGAAAUCUAACCUCAAAAAAUAAAUCCAGAAUCAAAAUAAAAAAUUUGGGGGAAAAAUCUUCACUACGUUCAAAACUAUAUCAACAAAAUUUAAUCUAAUUUUAUUUACUUAAUAUAAUUCUAAUCUAAUUGA